RNAcentral lists this ribosomal RNA (497 nucleotides) under uncultured bacterium. RNAcentral describes it as "partial 16S ribosomal RNA". It matches the Rfam family "Bacterial small subunit ribosomal RNA", at positions 28 to 507 of the family's 1533-position model. The record is from RNAcentral.
GAUGAACGCUGGCGGCGUGCCUAAUACAUGCCAGUCGAGCGAACAGACGAGGAGCUUGCUCCUCUGACGUUAGCGGCUGACGGGUGAGUAACACGUGGAUAACCUACCUAUAAGACUGGGAUAACUUCGGGAAACCGGAGCUAAUACCGGAUAAUAUAUUGAACCGCAUGGUUCAAUAGUGAAAGACGGUUUUGCUGUCACUUAUAGAUGGAUCCGCGCCGCAUUAGCUAGUUGGUAAGGUAACGGCUUACCAAGGCAACGAUGCGUAGCCGACCUGAGAGGGUGAUCGGCCACACUGGAACUGAGACACGGUCCAGACUCCUACGGGAGGCAGCAGUAGGGAAUCUUCCGCAAUGGGCGAAAGCCUGACGGAGCAACGUCGCGUGAGUGAUGAAGGUCUUCGGAUCGUAAAACUCUGUUAUUAGGGAAGAACAAAUGUGUAAGUAACUAUGCACGUCUUGACGGUACCUAAUCAGAAAGCCACGGCUAACUACGUG